RNAcentral lists this ribosomal RNA (497 nucleotides) under uncultured bacterium. RNAcentral describes it as "partial 16S ribosomal RNA". It matches the Rfam family "Bacterial small subunit ribosomal RNA", at positions 28 to 507 of the family's 1533-position model. The record is from RNAcentral.
GAUGAACGCUGGCGGCGUGCCUAAUACAUGCAAGUCGAGCGAAAAGACGAGGAGCUUGCUCCUCUGACGUUAGCGGCGGACGGGUGAGUAACACGUGGAUCACCUCCCUAUCAGUCUGGGAUCACUUCGGGAAACCGGCGCUAAUCCCGGAUAAUCUAUUGAACCGCAUGGUUCAAUAGUGAAAGACGGUUUUGCUGUCACUUAUAGAUGGAUCCGCGCCGCAUUAGCUAGUUGGUAAGGUCACGGCUUACCAAGGCAACGAUGCGUAGCCGACCUGAGAGGGGGAUCGGCCACACGAGAACUUAAACACGGUCCAUACUCCUACGGGAGGCAGCAGUAUGGAAGCGGCCGCAGUGGGCGAAAGCCUGACGGAGCAACGCCGCGCGAGUGACGAAGGUCUUCGGAGCGUAAUACUCUGUUAUUAGGGAAGAACAAAUGUGUAAGGAACUAUGCACUGCUUGACGGUACCUAGUCAGAAAGCCACGGCUAACUACGUG